UGGGGAAUUUUGCGCAAUGGGCGAAAGCUUGACGCAGCAACGCCGCGUGAUCGAAGAAGCUCUGCGGAGUGUAAAGAUCUGUCAUAGGGGAAGAAAAAUUUCGUUAUUAACACCAUCGGAACGUGACGGUACCCUAUAAGAAAGCCCCGGCUAACUUCGUGCCAGCAGCCGCGGUAAUACGAGGGGGGCAAGCGUUGUCCGGAUUUAUUGGGCGUAAAGAGUUCGUAGGUGGAUUAGUAAGUCAAAAUUGAAAUCCCACGGCUUAACCGUGGUUCCGGUUUUGAUACUGCUAAUCUUGAGUGAGGUAGAGGUAAGCGGAAUUCCUGGUGUAGCGGUGAAAUGCGUAGAUAUCAGGAGGAACACCAAAGGCGAAGGCAGCUUACUGGGCCUAUACUGACACUGAGGAACGAAAGCGUGGGGAGCAAACAGG
RNAcentral lists this ribosomal RNA (430 nucleotides) under uncultured bacterium. RNAcentral's name for it is "bacterial SSU rRNA". It matches the Rfam family "Bacterial small subunit ribosomal RNA", at positions 355 to 776 of the family's 1533-position model. The record is from RNAcentral.